CCUACGGGAGGCAGCAGUGGGGGAUAUUGCACAAUGGAGGAAACUCUGAUGCAGCGACGCCGCGUGAGGGAAGAAGGUCGUCGGAAUGGAAACCGCUGUCUGUGGGGAAGAAAAUUACGGUACCCAAAGAGUACUCUCCGGCCAACUUCGUUCCAGCAGCCGCGGUAAUACGUAGGGAGCGAGCGUGGUCCGGAUUUACUGGGGUAAAGGGGGGCGUAGGCGGGGGAGAAAGUUGAAUGGUAAAUCUACCGUCUUAACUGGUAACUGCGGUCAAAACGUCUUGUCUUUAGUGAAGUAGAGGCAGGCGGAAUUCCUAGUGUAGCGGUGAAAUGCGUAGAUAUUAGGAGGAACCCCAGUGGCGAAGGCGGCCUGCUGGGCUGUAACUGACGCUGAGGCUCGAAAGCGUGGGGAGCAAACAGGAUUAGAUACCCGGGUAGUC
This 439-nucleotide ribosomal RNA is filed under the name uncultured bacterium. RNAcentral's name for it is "partial 16S ribosomal RNA". It matches the Rfam family "Bacterial small subunit ribosomal RNA", at positions 338 to 795 of the family's 1533-position model. The record is from RNAcentral.